AUAGUUGUGUCAACUGUGAAUAGUAAGAGAUAAAUAAUGAUAUUAUCUUACCUAUAAGUGUCGUCAAAAACUAGUGCCAGAAGACUCGGUAAGGCUAGAGACGCAAACGUUAUUCAUCUUUAACAGGCGUAAAGGGUUUGUAGGCGGCUUUGAAAAUUUAAAAAAUUGUUCCUUCAAAAUAAUAAUUUUUUAGACUAGUCAAAGCUUGAAUCAAGAAGAGGUUAAAUUCAAAUAAUAUUUAGAUCUUAAGGAUUGACAACUGUAAAACCUAAGUAGAAUACUAACGGCGAAAGCUUUUUUCUAUUACUGAUUGACGCUGAAAAACUAAGGGGAGGAAAGAAAAAAGGAUGUGCGACUUGAAAAGUCUAAAUGUUGUAUUGUAUUCUCAGAAUACAUUAUUUGUCGUCUAAUAAUAACCUACCUAAACAUGCAAGAAUUUAAAAUUAAUUUGUUUAAUCUGAAAUUCCCAGUAAUGGUCUUGUGUGAAGCUUUAGGGUAAAAUUAGUGCCGCCAGGCGGUGGGAUUAUCUAUCCUAAGCUAUUUUUAAAAUAUUAUCCUAAAAAGGGUUAAUUAAAUGGUAAAUUAAUGAAGGUUGAAUCCUAUGGUUAAGGAAACUAAACUUAUGUAUUAAAGUAUAUUAAUUUGGCAAAUAAGUGUCCUUAUUAUUUGAAGACGAUCAUCGCCAAGCGAAAAAUUAAUAUUACAAAGUAAGAACCUAAGGGAAUCUAUCGUACACAUUUAGGAACAAGGAAAGGCCUAUAAUCUGCACUAAUUAAUUCAAUAUUAAUCAUAAUAAUAUUAACGGCUCGUCCAAGUAAUUAUGAAUGCUAUUAGAAUUAUUAGGGCUAGCUUUUUUGUAAAGAAAAGUACAUGAUUAGAGGUAGUAUGAUUUAGAAUAAAGCGAAUGACUAAUUGUAAUGAUUAGUAUAAGGUUAAUUAACCUACCGGAAACGGUGCCCACUUUCUAAAGGUGCUAUAUAGUAUAGAACUUUCACUCACAUUUUUAUUUUUAUAUAGUCUCACGUUAGAAAAAAAAGAAUAAAAAUAAAGGAAUAAAAGAGCGAAACCUAUUAGUGCUUGAGCCGUAUGCAGUGAAAGUUGCUUGUACGGUUCUUAGGGGGGGAAAGACGGCGACGUCCUACCUAUCCCAAAUAGAGACCCUCGUAUCCCUCUCUAUCAACGAUGAAUGGUAGUUAUUAGAUUUGAAAAACUAAGAACGAUGUUAACACGAAAACCAUUCCGCCUUGUGAGUACGACUGCAAAGUUGAAAACAAAAAAAU
Molecule: ribosomal RNA, 1280 nt
Filed under: Peniophorella rude
Lineage: Eukaryota; Fungi; Basidiomycota; Agaricomycetes; Hymenochaetales
Source: RNAcentral